GCAAGUCUAGCGCUGUGACUGAGSCUGGUGUUUUCAUUUUUGGACACKGRAACGGGAGUCAGCAGGACGAAAGGUUGGUCUGUUGUAAUGCAAGUUAUGAUGGACUAGCUGAUGAACUUUUGUUUUUAAACCCUUACCUAAAAUACUGAAUUUAUACUGUGGGGACGAAAAGUCCUUGCUUUUUACUAGAUAACAACUUUCAGCAGUGGAUGUCUAGGCUCGCACAUCGAUGAAGAACGCUGCGAACUGCGAUACGUAAUGCGAAUUGCAGAAUUCAGUGAGUCAUCGAAAUUUUGAACGCAUAUUGCACUUUCGGGUUAUGCCUGGAAGUAUGUCUGUAUCAGUGUCCGUAAAUCAAACUUGCCUUUCUUUUUCUGUGUAGUCAGGGAUGGAAUGUGCAGAUGUGAAGUGUCUCGCAUGGUUGCGUUCGUUUUUUCGAUCGAGAAUCUGUCGAGUCCUUUUAAAUGGACACGGUCUUUUCUAUGGUUUCUAUGAAGUGUAAUGGUUGGAAGGCAGUGAUUUUCGGAUUGCUGGCGGCUUUUGGCGACUUCGGUAUGAACGUAUGGAGACUAGCUCAAUUCGUGGUAUGUUAGGCUUCGGCUCGACAAUGUUGCGUAAUUGUGUGUGGUCUUUGUUUGUGCCUUGAGGRGUACUAGAGGUUGUCGGUUUGAACCGUAAGUGAUUGUUUAGUAGAGCAUUUUCACGAUGUAUGGAG
The sequence is a ribosomal RNA, 715 nucleotides long. The stretch from base 195 to 349 matches the Rfam family "5.8S ribosomal RNA".